CUUUUCUCAGUUAGCAUCUACACAAAGUGGAGGGAUGUUGGUUGUCAUCUAGAAGAGUGUAGACAAUCAGUGCUGGAUACAUCUUCAUUGAAGGAAUAGGGAGUGCCCCCUUGUAGGGUCACUGACCCGUGGACUUUGCGUUCUGGGAAGGGGCACCAUCGUAACACGAGUCUCCUGAAGAGGAUAGCACAGCUUGGAGCUCCAGACCUCUAAAGAUUCAAGAACUACAUGGCAGGGUCACUUCAUUUUACAGUAAUACCAUCUGAAGAUGACUUAUCACUUGUGAUAUUAACCUUGAUCACCUGGUGAAGGUGCUGUCUGCCAGGACUGCCCACUUCAAGGUUACCAUCUUUCCCUUUGCCUAGCCCAUUUGGAAGUGAGCCA
RNAcentral lists this long non-coding RNA (384 nucleotides) under Fukomys damarensis (Damara mole-rat). RNAcentral's name for it is "lncRNA (ENSFDAG00000032544.1)". Lineage: Eukaryota; Metazoa; Chordata; Mammalia; Rodentia; Bathyergidae. The record is from RNAcentral.